GCGCAUAACCAGUCGGCGAA
This 20-nucleotide non-coding RNA is filed under the name Arabidopsis thaliana (thale cress). The record is from RNAcentral. Lineage: Eukaryota; Viridiplantae; Streptophyta; Magnoliopsida; Brassicales; Brassicaceae.